AAUUUAAUAUUUAUUUAUAAAAGUUUUUAAAUUUAUUUUUAAUAAAAAUAAUUUUAAUUAUAAGGUUUUUGUAUUUUUUGAAGAUAAAAUAAAUUUUAUUAUAGUGAAGUAGUAUUGAGAAAGAAAAUUGAAAUAUUAUGAAAAUUUAAUUUUUUAAAAGUUGUAUUAAUUUUAUGUACCUUUUGUAUCAGGGUUAAUUAAAAAAUAAUUAAAUAUUUUAAUUUUCUCGAAUUUAAGAGAGCUAAUUUAUUAUAAAAGUUAACGUAGUAUAGUUAUUUUAAAUAAUUUGUUAGUAAUGAAAUGUUAUUCGUUCUUAAAUAUAUCUAGUUUUUUAAGAAAUAAAUUUAAUUUAUAUAUUAUUAAUAAAAAUUGUUAAAUAAAUAAUAAUUUUUUAUAUUAAUAUAAAUAUAUUAAGGGAUAAGCUUUAAUUUAUUAUCUAUAAUUAAAUUAAUAUAAAUUAAAUUGUAAAUUUAGAAAUAGUUAUCAAUAAAAAUUUUGUUUUAAUUUAUUUUAUUAUAAAUAUGAUUUUAUAAAAUUUAGAUAAUUUAUUAAAAUAAUUAUUUUAAUUUAAAAAAUAAUUUAAUAAUGAUUAAAUUAGUAUAAAUUUUUGUUUAGAUAAUUAGUUAAUUUAGAUUAAUUAAAGGAAUUCGGCAAAUAUAAUACUCACCUGUUUAACAAAAACAUGUCUUUUUGAAUAUAAUAUAAAGUCUGACCUGCCCACUGAAUAUAUUUUGAAGGGCCGCGGUAUUUUGACUGUGCAAAGGUAGCAUAAUCAAUAGUCUUUUAAUUGAAGGCUUGUAUGAAUGGUUGGAUGAGGUAUUAACUGUCUCUAAUUAAAAAAUAUAUGAAUUUAAUUUUUAAGUUAAAAAGCUUAAAUAAAUUUAGAGGACGAGAAGACCCUAUAGAUCUUUAUAAUUAUAUUUAUAUUUAAUUUAUUGAAAUAAUUUAUUUAUUAUAAAUAAAAUUAUUUAAUUGGGGUGAUUAAAAAAUUUAAUAAACUUUUUUAUAAAUUAACAUAGAUUUAUGAAUAAUUGAUCCAAUAUUAUUGAUUAUAAGAUUAAGUUACCUUAGGGAUAACAGCGUAAUUUUUUUAGAGAGUUCUUAUCGAUAAAAAAGAUUGCGACCUCGAUGUUGAAUUAAAGGUAAAUUUUAGGUGCAAAAGUUUAAAAUUUUGGUCUGUUCGACCAUUAAAUCUUUACAUGAUUUGAGUUCAAACCGGUGUAAGCCAGGUUGGUUUCUAUCCUUAAAUUAAAAAUAAUAUUUUAGUACGAAAGGACCAAAUAUUAAAAAUAUUUUUUUUUAUAUAGAAUAAUAAUAAUAAUAA
RNAcentral lists this ribosomal RNA (1324 nucleotides) under Dysmicohermes ingens. RNAcentral's name for it is "16S ribosomal RNA". The stretch from base 1073 to 1232 matches the Rfam family "Archaeal large subunit ribosomal RNA", at positions 2544 to 2703 of the family's 2987-position model. Lineage: Eukaryota; Metazoa; Arthropoda; Insecta; Megaloptera; Corydalidae. The record is from RNAcentral.